This 430-nucleotide unclassified non-coding RNA is filed under the name soil metagenome. Its description in RNAcentral is "partial contains 5.8S ribosomal RNA, internal transcribed spacer 2, and large subunit ribosomal RNA". The stretch from base 1 to 120 matches the Rfam family "5.8S ribosomal RNA", at positions 35 to 154 of the family's 154-position model. The record is from RNAcentral.
GAUGAAGAACGUAGCGAAAUGCGAUACGUAAUGUGAAUUGCAGAAUUCAGUGAAUCAUCGAAUCUUUGAACGCAUAUUGCGCUCUCUGGUAUUCCGGAGAGCAUGCUUGUUUGAGUAUCAGUAAACACCUCAACUCUUUUUUCUUUUUUGAAAUUGGAGCUGGACUUGAGUGAUCCCAACGCUUUCUUCCAAGAAAGUGGCGGGUUGCUUGAAAUGCAGGUGCAGCUGAACUUUUCUCUGAGCUAUAAGCAUAUCUAUUUAGUCUGCCUAAAAAACAGAUUAUUACCUUUGCUGCAGCUAACAUAAAGGAGACUAGUUCUUGUGCUGACUGAUGCAGGAUUCACAGAGACAGCUUCGGCUGACUUUGUAAACUCGAUCUCAAAUCAAGUAAGAUUACCCGCUGAACUUAAGCAUAUCAAUAAGCGGAGGA